CAGCCCCUGACGCCCAGUGGUCUCUCUUUCUUUGCAGGAGCAAUUUCUUGGGGGACAGCGACUCCUAUGGAUGUCGUGAAAAGUCGACUCCAAGCUGACGGCGUGUAUUUAAACAAAUACAAAGGUGUCCUAGACUGUAUCUCCCAGAGUUACCAGAAGGAAGGUCUGAAAUGCAUGAGCCCUAUAGCAAAAACCCCUCCAAAAAAAAGAGAAAGAAGUUGGAAUGUUGCGCCUGCCUCUGGGCACUGGGACAAAUCAUGGACGACUGGAAACCAGGGUCAUUUUUGUUCUUUUUAAAAAAAGAGCUGUUCCAUCAGAAGGAUGACACCCAAGUACAGCCUCAGUUGUCUUUUGUGUUUGUUUUUUCUUUUUUUUAAACAGAAGCUCAGUUUGAUUCAAUCAACUAGUCCAAAAAAGACCCAAGAAGAGAUUCAAAUGGGAUGCUCUGUUUCUAUUUGAGAUUUUUUUUGUCUUUCCCCCCAAAUAUUAAUGGGUCACAAUUGUAAAAAAUUUAUAGAGGCAAAAUAUAUUGCAUAUUUCAUCCAAAAACUACUGUUCUCUGUCUAAAAAAAAAAAAUGCAAUUCUAGAUGGCAGCUGAGGACAGAUGGUUAGUUUCUUCAUCUCACUGGCAUUUG
Molecule: long non-coding RNA, 636 nt
Organism: Tupaia belangeri chinensis (Chinese tree shrew)
Lineage: Eukaryota; Metazoa; Chordata; Mammalia; Scandentia; Tupaiidae
Exons: 3
Source: RefSeq, a predicted model, not a curated record